This 429-nucleotide ribosomal RNA is filed under the name Bacteroidota bacterium. Its description in RNAcentral is "Bacteroidetes bacterium partial 16S ribosomal RNA". It matches the Rfam family "Bacterial small subunit ribosomal RNA", at positions 355 to 776 of the family's 1533-position model. RNAcentral also lists the same sequence under 1 other name. The record is from RNAcentral. Lineage: Bacteria; Pseudomonadati; Bacteroidota.
UAGGGAAUCUUCGGCAAUGGGGGGAACCCUGACCGAGCAACGCCGCGUGAGUGAAGAAGGUUUUCGGAUCGUAAAGCUCUGUUGUUAGGGAAGAACGAGUGUGAGAAUGGAAAGUUCAUGCUGUGACGGUACUUAACCAGAAAGGGACGGCUAACUACGUGCCAGCAGCCGCGGUAAUACGUAGGUCCCGAGCGUUGUCCGGAUUUAUUGGGCGUAAAGCGAGCGCAGGCGGUUAGAAAAGUCUGAAGUGAAAGGCAGUGGCUCAACCAUUGUAGGCUUUGGAAACUGUUUAACUUGAGUGCAGAAGGGGAGAGUGGAAUUCCAUGUGUAGCGGUGAAAUGCGUAGAUAUAUGGAGGAACACCGGUGGCGAAAGCGGCUCUCUGGUCUGUAACUGACGCUGAGGCUCGAAAGCGUGGGGAGCGAACAGG